GAUGAACGCUGGCGGCGUGCCUAAUACAUGCAAGUCGAGCGGACGGACGAGAAGCUUUCUUCUCUGAUGUUAGCGGCGGACGGGUGAGUAACACGUGGAUAACCUACUUCUAAGACUUGGAUAACUUCGGGAAACCGGUGCUACUACCGGAUGAUAUUUUGAACCGCUUGGUUCAAGAGUGAAAGACGGUUUUGCUGUCACUUAUAGAUGGAUCCGCGCUGCAUUAGCUAGUUGGUAAGGUAACGGCUUACCAAGGCAACGAUGCAUAGCCGACCUGAGAGGAUGAUCAGCCACACUGGAACUGAGACACGGUCCAGACUCCUACGGGAGGCAGCAGUAGGGAAUCUUCCGCAAUGGGCGAAAGCCUGACGGAGCAACGCCGCGUGAGUGAUGAAGGUCUUCGGAUCGUAAAGCUCUGUUAUUAGGAAAGAAAAUAUGUGUAAGUAUCUGUGCACGUCUUGACGGUACCUAAACAGAAAGCCACGGCUAACUACGUG
RNAcentral lists this ribosomal RNA (497 nucleotides) under uncultured bacterium. RNAcentral's name for it is "partial 16S ribosomal RNA". It matches the Rfam family "Bacterial small subunit ribosomal RNA", at positions 28 to 507 of the family's 1533-position model. The record is from RNAcentral.